RNAcentral lists this ribosomal RNA (442 nucleotides) under uncultured bacterium. Its description in RNAcentral is "partial 16S ribosomal RNA". It matches the Rfam family "Bacterial small subunit ribosomal RNA", at positions 339 to 795 of the family's 1533-position model. The record is from RNAcentral.
CUACGGGGCGCUGCAGUGGGGAAUAUUGGGCAAUGAGCGCAAGCCUGACCCAGCAACGCCGCGUGAGGGAAGAAUGUCUUCGGAUUGUAAACCUCUGUCCUUAGGGACGAAAAAAAUGACGGUACCUAAGGAGGAAGCUCCGGCUAACUACGUGCCAGCAGCCGCGGUAAUACGUAGGGAGCAAGCGUUGUCCGGAAUUAUUGGGCGUAAAGGGUGCGUAGGCGGUAAUCCAAGUCAGAUGUGAAAGACCCGGGCUUAACUCGGGAGGUGCAUUUGAAACUGGGUUACUUGAGUACAGGAGAGGUAAGUGGAAUUCCUAGUGUAGCGGUGAAAUGCGUAGAUAUUAGGAGGAACACCAGUGGCGAAGGCGACUUACUGGACUGUCACUGACGCUGAGGCACGAAAGCGUGGGGAGCAAACAGGAUUAGAUACCCGCGUAGUC